GGACCAAACCACAGGAGCGUGUGUGCAUCGAACAUCUACCACAGAAGUUUUGGGUCAAGCUGAUGUUUUUGUUUUACCUUCAUCCAUGUCUGUGUGAUCUUAUGAACUGGUUGGAUGAGAAAUAAACAUCAUUGUGGACCCUAGGAAGGUUUCAACAGUGGAAAUCAUUAUUCCCACUAUUUCCCGUAGUGUGGUCCACUUGAACUUUAUAUAUGCUUCAAUGUUGGGAUCAACCCCUAAAAUGAGUUGACGAAACAGAUGGACGGAUUGGAUAAACCACAUACAUUUAUGGUGGGCCCAACACAGUUUACUCAGUACGAUAAAAGCGUACUGAACGCAAUCCAAUUUCGAGAAUGUUUGCUGCCCCUUUUGAAGAAACCUUUUCAUCUCAUUCAAAAUUUGAAAAUUAAGAGGGAGGUGGGCGGACUGGAAUCCUCUGCAACAUCUGUUUUAAAAACACUCAAGCUUGUGUGGCCCACCAUUUCUAAUUAUGAAAUCCACUCCAUCAAUCAGGUUCAAUCUUUGAUGUUAGGACCUAAGGCUACAAAUUAGCUAGAACAACAAGUCAGGUGGGCCACACGAACGCAGAGAGUGUGUAUUUUACUCAACUGCGUAGACGAAUCCGGUUCCAAGUGGGCAUGGCAGAUAAGGACUGGGAGCUCUGCAAUGAUGAUGGCUUUGUCUACAAGAAGAGAAAAAAAGGAAGAAUCAUCUUCCGCUACGACUGCGAUCAAUCUAGAGGUGGAGGGGACCCGACAUUGAAGGGAGCAGAAGAAAAAGGUUCUGGAAAGGGUGAGAGAGCAGUAUAGGAGAGAGAUCCAACAAUGGGAAGGACUGUCUGCCAAUCUUCAAUAGCUGAAGGACAAGAGAAGACAAGCAGAGGUGUUGCUUUUGCUACUGCCGCUUCCAUCCGAAGAAAUGUCUGCUUUGCAGCAGGUCAGGGAGAAGGAAGGGGACAAUUUUCGGCAGUUGAUUGUGGAUGACCUCCUGUCGCAGGCAGAAAGCUCAAGAAGCAAUUCUUCAGGACCUGUUAAACCAAUGCGAUGCAGCUGAAGCCUCAUGUAAGGUGCAAGAAGAAUGCCAGAAGCAAUCUUUCAUUCAACUUCCAAUUUGGGCCACACCAAGGGCUCUCUUCGCCUCUUUAUCAGAGGUUGACGACCAAGAAAAAAAUUAUAACAGCUACAAUGCCUGAAUGUCUUACCUCAAUUAAUCUUGAGCUAUAUAACAUUUUACUCACUCGAUCAUAUAUUCUGCACUGCAAUAUAGGUGCCACUCUUAGGUGUUGUUCCUCCCUUUGCUUUCGGCUCUUUUAAAAUAAGG
Molecule: long non-coding RNA, 1320 nt
Organism: Magnolia sinica
Lineage: Eukaryota; Viridiplantae; Streptophyta; Magnoliopsida; Magnoliales; Magnoliaceae
Exons: 2
Source: RefSeq, a predicted model, not a curated record